RNAcentral lists this ribosomal RNA (253 nucleotides) under uncultured bacterium. RNAcentral's name for it is "partial 16S ribosomal RNA". It matches the Rfam family "Bacterial small subunit ribosomal RNA", at positions 524 to 776 of the family's 1533-position model. The record is from RNAcentral.
UACGUAGGGUGCAAGCGUUGUCCGGAAUUAUUGGGCGUAAAGAGCUCGUAGGCGGUUUGUCGCGUCUGCUGUGAAAUCCCGAGGCUCAACCUCGGGCCUGCAGUGGGUACGGGCAGACUAGAGUGCGGUAGGGGAGAUUGGAAUUCCUGGUGUAGCGGUGGAAUGCGCAGAUAUCAGGAGGAACACCGGUGGCGAAGGCGGGUCUCUGGGCAAUAACUGACGCUGAGGAGCGAAAGCGUGGGGAGCGAACAGG